AAUUUAAGUUCUUAAAUAAUAAAAUAUAGGAUAUUUAUUAUAAAGCUAUCCAUCAAGGUAAUUAAUUUUACUUACUUCUUGUUUAUAAGGAGCGGCCUGACUACCAGGAGACUUAUAGUUCGAGAAUAUGUUAAAAUUAUUUAUUGCAUUAGAUCUAUGGAUUGAAAGAAUUAUUCAAUUUUACACUAAACGCUUGGACUACCCGGGG
RNAcentral lists this long non-coding RNA (208 nucleotides) under Nicotiana benthamiana. RNAcentral describes it as "long non-coding RNA (NBEN_LNC023314)". The record is from RNAcentral. Lineage: Eukaryota; Viridiplantae; Streptophyta; Magnoliopsida; Solanales; Solanaceae.